UGUAGAUUAAUAGACGGCUGGGAUAAGGUCGUCGCAUGACUCAGUGCGCAUGCGCGGUCAGCCAUGUUUGAUGCUAUUCCCCACUCCUAAUGUUCACCACACAAUGUAAACAAACAGUGUAUGGCAUGUCAAAAAAAUUUCAACAUCAAAAUUUAAUCAUUUAUUUAUUGAAUAAAUAUUGUACGUCAACGUUGUGCGAUCGGUUGCUUCCCCCAGAGAUUUAGAUCAUCGUCGAAAAUGAUCUACUGGUGCUGGUGUGAGCCAAAUAAAACCAUGCUCAACGUUAUGUGAGAUAUAUUUAUAAAGAUCCAACAUAAUGAAUCUCAAUAUGAACAACAUCGUCAGGAUGGCUCAAAAAAAAUUAAAACCAAAUGCAGUACCAACUUUGUUUGGUGAUGUUUUGAUAGAUUUUUUAAGUAAAAUUCACCAAAAUACAAGUGACAACAUGAUGUUAAUUAGACUUCAUGUGAAUCACUAAAGCAGUUGUCAACAACAAACUUAGGUGAAUCCUUUUCCAGACCAUUGCUUGAUGUAAUCAUAGAUAAAUAUACCACUGACAA
Molecule: long non-coding RNA, 560 nt
Filed under: Aphidius gifuensis
Lineage: Eukaryota; Metazoa; Arthropoda; Insecta; Hymenoptera; Braconidae
Description: uncharacterized LOC122849964
Source: RNAcentral